This 812-nucleotide ribosomal RNA is filed under the name uncultured bacterium. Its description in RNAcentral is "bacterial SSU rRNA". It matches the Rfam family "Bacterial small subunit ribosomal RNA", at positions 8 to 796 of the family's 1533-position model. The record is from RNAcentral.
AGAGUUUGAUCAUGGCUCAGAACGAACGCUGGCGGCGUGGAUUAGGCAUGCAAGUCGAACGCGAAAGUGGGGGCAACUCCACGAGUAGAGUGGCGAACGGGUGAGUAACGCGUGAGAAACCUGCCUUCAUCAGGGGGAUAACACUCCCAACGGGGGUGCUAAUACCGCAUGAGACCACGGGAUCGCAUCCUGAGGUCAAAGGUGGCCUCUAUUUAUAAGCUACCGGAUGAAGAUGGUCUCGCGUCCCAUUAGCUAGUUGGCGGGGUAAUGGCCCACCAAGGCGACGAUGGGUAGCUGGUCUGAGAGGAUGGUCAGCCACACUGGGACUGAGAUACGGCCCAGACUCCUACGGGAGGCAGCAGUCGAGAGGCUUCGGCAAUGGGGGAAACCCUGACCGAGCGACGCCGCGUGGGGGAUGAAGGCCCUUGGGUUGUAAACCCCUUUUAUUCGGGAAGAAAUGUGAUCAGGUGAAUAAUCUGGUCAUUUGACGGUACCGGAUGAAUAAGCUCCGGCUAACUCCGUGCCAGCAGCCGCGGUAACACGGGGGGAGCAAGCGUUGUUCGGAAUCACUGGGCGUAAAGGGCGUGUAGGCGGUCAGGUAAGUGAGAUGUGAAAUGCCCCGGCUCACCCGGGGACCGGCAUCUCAUACUGCUUGGCUUGAGUACGGGAGAGGAUGUGGGAAUUCCUGGUGUAGCGGUGAAAUGCGUAGAUAUCAGGAGGAACACCGGUGGCGAAGGCGCACAUCUGGCCCGAUACUGACGCUGAGGCGCGAAAGCUAGGGGAGCAAACGGGAUUAGAUACCCUAGUAGUCC